Molecule: long non-coding RNA, 368 nt
Organism: Hydra vulgaris (swiftwater hydra)
Lineage: Eukaryota; Metazoa; Cnidaria; Hydrozoa; Anthoathecata; Hydridae
Source: RefSeq, a predicted model, not a curated record
AUGCUGUUGUCAUUUAAACUUAUGACAUAUCUAGUUACAUUUUUCAAACAAAUAUUUAAACAUUUAAACCAGAUUUGCGCAGUUUAUAAUUCUGGUGGAUUUUUUAAUAAACUUUCUUUAAAAAAAGAAAAUGUUACUUUAUUUUUCAGCACUGGUUUUUCAAGAUUUCAUUUAAGUCAACUUCAAGCGUUUCCUUUGACUAAAUCAAUUUUUCGAAAUCUUUAAAUCAAAUAAUACAUUUAAAAACAGCUUUUGCGAACAUAAACUUGAAUACAUCUUUUGCUAACUUAAAAAAAAAAUGCAGCUAAGGAAGAGAAAACUGCUCGUUUUGUUAUCUGCAUCUGUAUUUAUAUUUUUCAUUAAAUUUA